Molecule: ribosomal RNA, 916 nt
Filed under: uncultured bacterium
Lineage: Bacteria
Description: bacterial SSU rRNA
Rfam family: Bacterial small subunit ribosomal RNA
Source: RNAcentral
AGAGUUUGAUCCUGGCUCAGGAUGAACGCUAGCUACAGGCUUAACACAUGCAAGUCGAGGGGAAACGACAUCGAAAGCUUGCUUUUGAUGGGCGUCGACCGGCGCACGGGUGAGUAACGCGUAUCCAACCUGCCCACCACUUGGGGAUAACCUUGCGAAAGUAAGACUAAUACCCAAUGAUAUCUCUAGAAGACAUCUGAAGGAGAUUAAAGAUUUAUCGGUGAUGGAUGGGGAUGCGUCUGAUUAGCUUGUUGGCGGGGUAACGGCCCACCAAGGCAACGAUCAGUAGGGGUUCUGAGAGGAAGGUCCCCCACAUUGGAACUGAGACACGGUCCAAACUCCUACGGGAGGCAGCAGUGAGGAAUAUUGGUCAAUGGACGAGAGUCUGAACCAGCCAAGUAGCGUGCAGGAUGACGGCCCUAUGGGUUGUAAACUGCUUUUAUAAGGGAAUAAAGUGAGUCUCGUGAGAUUUUUUGCAUGUACCUUAUGAAUAAGGACCGGCUAAUUCCGUGCCAGCAGCCGCGGUAAUACGGAAGGUCCGGGCGUUAUCCGGAUUUAUUGGGUUUAAAGGGAGCGUAGGCCGGAGAUUAAGCGUGUUGUGAAAUGUAGAUGCUCAACAUCUGCACUGCAGCGCGAACUGGUUUCCUUGAGUACGCACAAAGUGGGCGGAAUUCGUGGUGUAGCGGUGAAAUGCUUAGAUAUCACGAAGAACUCCGAUUGCGAAGGCAGCUCACUGGAGCGCAACUGACGCUGAAGCUCGAAAGUGCGGGUAUCGAACAGGAUUAGAUACCCUGGUAGUCCGCACGGUAAACGAUGGAUGCCCGCUGUUGGUCUGAAUAGGUCAGCGGCCAAGCGAAAGCAUUAAGCAUCCCACCUGGGGAGUACGCCGGCAACGGUGAAACUCAAAGGAAUUGAC